Molecule: long non-coding RNA, 448 nt
Organism: Mytilus californianus (California mussel)
Lineage: Eukaryota; Metazoa; Mollusca; Bivalvia; Mytilida; Mytilidae
Exons: 3
Source: RefSeq, a predicted model, not a curated record
ACAGGAAACGUCUCCGCUCUAGAAGGGUCCAUAUUGGUGGUCAAUGAUCCCCAAUUUUCCAGUGCACCAACAAAGGAUCCAGAAAAUAAUAAGCUGCUAUGUGACAAAUGUGGAAAGAAAUACACAACAGAGGUUCAAAUGUGGACAAUGCCAGCAGGGGUUCAUGUCAAGAACGCUGUUCCGUUCACACAUUCUAAAGCACGCAGAGGAAAAACAGUACCAAUGUGGAGAAUGUCCUAAAAGAUAUGUUUACAAAAAAGACUUGAAGGCUUAUAUCAGAGCGAAACAUGAACAGCCUCGGAAUGCUUUCAAUUGUGAUCAUGACAAGUGCAAAAAGACAUAUACGUACAAACAAGGGCUACUGCAGCACAUAAGAAGUGAACACACCGGGAAAGCCUUUGUCUGUGAACUUUGCAGAACAACUUACUCAUAUAAAAGUAACUACCAA